UUUGAUCCUGGCUCAGAACGAACGCUGGCGGCAGGCCUAACACAUGCAAGUCGAGCGCCCCGCAAGGGGAGCGGCGGACGGGUGAGUAACGCGUGGGAACGUACCCUUUGCUACGGAAUAGCCUCGGGAAACUGGGAGUAAUACCGUAUGUGCCCCCCGACCUCAGAAAUUGGGGGGGAAAGAUUUAUCGGCAAAGGAUCGGCCCGCGUUGGAUUAGGUAGUUGGUGGGGUAAUGGCCUACCAAGCCGACGAUCCAUAGCUGGUUUGAGAGGAUGAUCAGCCACACUGGGACUGAGACACGGCCCAGACUCCUACGGGAGGCAGCAGUGGGGAAUCUUAGACAAUGGGCGCAAGCCUGAUCUAGCCAUGCCGCGUGAGCGAUGAAGGCCUUAGGGUUGUAAAGCUCUUUCAGUGGGGAAGAUAAUGACUGUACCCACAGAAGAAGCCCCGGCUAACUCCGUGCCAGCAGCCGCGGUAAUACGGAGGGGGCUAGCGUUGUUCGGAAUUACUGGGCGUAAAGCGCACGUAGGCGGACUGGAAAGUCAGA
Molecule: ribosomal RNA, 547 nt
Filed under: uncultured Rhodobacterales bacterium
Lineage: Bacteria; Pseudomonadati; Pseudomonadota; Alphaproteobacteria; Rhodobacterales
Description: bacterial SSU rRNA
Rfam family: Bacterial small subunit ribosomal RNA
Source: RNAcentral